UACGGAGGGUGCGAGCGUUAAUCGGAAUUACUGGGCGUAAAGCGUGCGUAGGCGGUUCGUUAAGUCAGAUGUGAAAGCCCUGGGCUCAACCUGGGAACUGCAUUUGAAACUGGCGGACUAGAGUUGUGUAGAGGGGAGUGGAAUUUCAGGUGUAGCGGUGAAAUGCGUAGAUAUCUGAAGGAACACCAGUGGCGAAGGCGACUCCCUGGACUCAAACUGACGCUGAGGUACGAAAGCGUGGGUAGCAAACAGG
This 253-nucleotide ribosomal RNA is filed under the name uncultured bacterium. Its description in RNAcentral is "partial 16S ribosomal RNA". It matches the Rfam family "Bacterial small subunit ribosomal RNA", at positions 524 to 776 of the family's 1533-position model. The record is from RNAcentral.